Molecule: ribosomal RNA, 299 nt
Filed under: uncultured bacterium
Lineage: Bacteria
Description: partial 16S ribosomal RNA
Rfam family: Bacterial small subunit ribosomal RNA
Source: RNAcentral
GAUGAACGCUGGCGGCGUGCCUAAUACAUGCAAGUCGAACGCGAGCACUUGUGCUCGAGUGGCGAACGGGUGAGUAAUACAUAAGUAACCUGCCCUAGACAGGGGGAUAACUAUUGGAAACGAUAGCUAAGACCGCAUAGGCCCACGACUCGGCAUCGGGUUGAGGGAAAAGGAGCAAUCCGCUUUGAGAUGGCCUCGCGUCCGAUUAGCUGGUUGGUGAGGUAACGGCCCACCAAGGCAACGAUCGGUAGCCGGACUGAGAGGUUGAACGGCCACAUUGGGACUGAGACACGGCCCAG